Molecule: non-coding RNA, 472 nt
Organism: Pristis pectinata (smalltooth sawfish)
Lineage: Eukaryota; Metazoa; Chordata; Chondrichthyes; Rhinopristiformes; Pristidae
Source: the annotation of a RefSeq genome assembly
UCAUCCAGUCUCCUCAGUUGAGCGGCAGAGUGGGGUCAUGCGGGCGGGCAGCGCAGUGCUGUUGGUGUUCCUGGCGUCCUUCCGUGGCUGCCUUUCCCAGUCCGUGCUCCAGUCCAAGCCAUCCAUGAUCAGAGGGGCAGGCAAAACGGCUCGCUUUCGCUGCGUCAUUAACACGGACAAUUUCGACAACACUGUUGUUCAUUGGUACCGAAACACCUUGAGCCUAGGCUUACAGCGCAUCCUCUAUAUCCAAGCAAACUCAGAGCCAGUCAGGGACAAGGGUUCACCCGACAGAUUCACAGCCGAGAACUUGGUAAAGGAAAAGGCGAGCCUGCUGGAUAUAAGAGACAUCGAGGAGGUGGACGCAGGGGCUUACUACUGUGCGGUCUGGGAGAGCACAGUGAGGCGGCGCCGCAGGAGCCCAGAACAAAUACCCCGCGCCCAGGCGACGCUGCAGAUUGACACACAGUGA